RNAcentral lists this ribosomal RNA (236 nucleotides) under uncultured bacterium. RNAcentral describes it as "partial 16S ribosomal RNA". It matches the Rfam family "Bacterial small subunit ribosomal RNA", at positions 338 to 588 of the family's 1533-position model. The record is from RNAcentral.
CCUACGGGAGGCAGCAGUGGGGAAUAUUGGGCAAUGGGCGCAAGCCUGACCCAGCAAUGCCGCGUGAAGGAAGAAGGCCCUGGGGUUGAAAACUUCUUUUAUAAGGGAGGAGGGAGGGGACGGUACCUGAUGAAUAAGCUCCGGCUAACUACGGGCCAGAAGCCGCGGAAAUACGUAGGGAGAAAGCGUUAUCCGGAUUUACUGGGGGUAAAGGGCGCGAAGGCGGGAUGGCAAGU